ACCGAGUUCAUGCCCUCACGGGUAGAUCUCCCACCCUAUGUUAUCAUUACCUUUGUUGCUUUGGCGGGCCGCCAGGCUUCGGCUAGGCUACCGGCUCCGGCUGGUAAGCGCCCGCCAGAGGACCCCAAACUCUGAAUGUUAGUGUCGUCUGAGUACUAUCUAAUAGUUAAAACUUUCAACAACGGAUCUCUUGGUUCUGGCAUCGAUGAAGAACGCAGCGAAAUGCGAUAAGUAAUGUGAAUUGCAGAAUUCAGUGAAUCAUCGAAUCUUUGAACGCACAUUGCGCCCCUUGGUAUUCCGAGGGGCAUGCCUGUUCGAGCGUCAUUACAACCCUCAAGCACUGCUUGGUAUUGGGCUCCGCUGCUAACCCAGCGGGCCUUAAAACGAGUGGCGGCGCCCUCAGGCUCUGAGCGUAGUAAAUCUCCUCGCUAUAGAGUCCUGGUGGUGGUAGUCAUCAACCCCCAACUUUCUAAGUUUGACCUCGGAUCAGGUAGGGAACCCGC
RNAcentral lists this ribosomal RNA (503 nucleotides) under Humicola sp. aurim624. RNAcentral's name for it is "eukaryotic LSU rRNA". The stretch from base 171 to 324 matches the Rfam family "5.8S ribosomal RNA". Lineage: Eukaryota; Fungi; Ascomycota; Sordariomycetes; Sordariales; Chaetomiaceae. The record is from RNAcentral.